This 68-nucleotide transfer RNA is filed under the name Lyreidus brevifrons. RNAcentral's name for it is "tRNA-Met". Lineage: Eukaryota; Metazoa; Arthropoda; Malacostraca; Decapoda; Lyreididae. The record is from RNAcentral.
AAAAGAUAAGCUAAAUAAGCUAGUGGGGCUCAUACCCCAUCAGUGUGAGUUCACCCUCUCUCUUUUUA